Molecule: ribosomal RNA, 496 nt
Filed under: uncultured bacterium
Lineage: Bacteria
Description: partial 16S ribosomal RNA
Rfam family: Bacterial small subunit ribosomal RNA
Source: RNAcentral
AUGAACGCUGGCGGCGUGCCUAAUUCAUGCAAGUCGAGCGAACAGACGAGGAGCUUGCUCCUUUGACGUUAGCGGCGGACGGGUGAGUAACACGUAGGUAACCUACCUAUAAGACUGGGAUAACUUCGGGAAACCGGAGCUAAUACCGGAUAAUAUUUCGAACCGCAUGGUUCGAUAGUGAAAGAUGGCUUUGCUAUCACUUAUAGAUGGACCUGCGCCGUAUUAGCUAGUUGGUAAGGUAACGGCUUACCAAGGCAACGAUACGUAGCCGACCUGAGAGGGUGAUCGGCCACACUGGAACUGAGACACGGUCCAGACUCCUACGGGAGGCAGCAGUAGGGAAUCUUCCGCAAUGGGCGAAAGCCUGACGGAGCAACGCCGCGUGAGUGAUGAAGGUCUUCGGAUCGUAAAACUCUGUUAUUAGGGAAGAACAAACGUGUAAGUAACUGUGCACGUCUUGACGGUACCUAAUCAGAAAGCCACGGCUAACUACGUG